Molecule: ribosomal RNA, 702 nt
Filed under: uncultured fungus
Lineage: Eukaryota; Fungi
Description: SSU rRNA
Rfam family: Eukaryotic small subunit ribosomal RNA
Source: RNAcentral
GAGCCUGAGAAACGGCUACCACAUCCAAGGAUGGCAGCAGGCGCGCAAAUUACCCAAUCCCGACACGGGGAGGUAGUGACAAUAAAUAACAAUACGGGGUUCUUUAGGAUCUCGUAAUUGGAAUGAGUACAAUUUAAAUCUCUUAACGAGGAACAAUUGGAGGGCAAGUCUGGUGCCAGCAGCCGCGGUAAUUCCAGCUCCAAUAGCGUAUAUUAAAGUUGUUGCAGUUAAAAAGCUCGUAGUUGAAUUUCGGGGUUAGUAGGUUGGUCAUGCCUCUGGUAUGUACUGGUCUCACUGAUUCCUCCUUCCUUAUGAACCGUAAUGCCAUUAAUUUGGUGUUGCGGGGAAUUUGGACUGUUACUUUGAAAAAAUUAGAGUGUUUAAAGCAAGCUAACGCUUGAAUACAUUAGCAUGGAAUAAUGAAAUAGGACGUUCGAUCUUAUUUUGUUGGUUUCUAGGAUUGACGUAAUGAUUAAUAGGGAUAGUUGGGGGCAUUAGUAUUCAAUUGUCAGAGGUGAAAUUCUUGGAUUUAUUGAAGACUAACUACUGCGAAAGCAUUUGCCAAGGAUGUUUUCAUUAAUCAAGAACGAAAGUUAGGGGAUCGAAGACGAUCAGAUACCGUCGUAGUCUUAACCAUAAACUAUGCCGACUAGGGAUCGGAUGAUGUUAAUUUUUUAAUGACUCAUUCGGCGCCUUACGGGA